GACGAACGCUGGCGGCGUGCUUAACACAUGCAAGUCGAACGGAAAGGCCCUGCUUUUGUGGGGUGCUCGAGUGGCGAACGGGUGAGUAACACGUGAGUAACCUGCCCUUGACUUUGGGAUAACUUCAGGAAACUGGGGCUAAUACCGGAUAGGAGCUCCUGCUGCAUGGUGGGGGUUGGAAAGUUUCGGCGGUUGGGGAUGGACUCGCGGCUUAUCAGCUUGUUGGGGGGGUAGUGGCUUACCAAGGCUUUGACGGGUAGCCGGCCUGAGAGGGUGACCGGCCACAUUGGGACUGAGAUACGGCCCAGACGCCUACGGGAGGCAGCAGUGGGGAAUAUGGCACAAUGGGCGGAAGCCUGAUGCAGCAACGCCGCGUGCGGGAUGACGGCCUUCGGGUUGUAAACCGCUUUCGCCUGUGACGAAGCGUGAGUGACGGUAAUGGGUAAAGAAGCACCGGCUAACUACGUG
This 468-nucleotide ribosomal RNA is filed under the name uncultured bacterium. RNAcentral's name for it is "partial 16S ribosomal RNA". It matches the Rfam family "Bacterial small subunit ribosomal RNA", at positions 28 to 507 of the family's 1533-position model. The record is from RNAcentral.